AGUACACGUGACUAACCUACCCUUGAGUGGGGAAUAACUGAGAGAAAUCUUAGCUAAUACCGCAUAAUACCUACGGGUCAAAGCAGCAAUGCGCUUGAAGAGGAGUUCGCGGCAGAUUAGUUAGUUGGCGGGGUAAUGGCCCACCAAGACGAUGAUCUGUAUCCGGCCUGAGAGGGCGCACGGACACACUGGAACUGAAACACGGUCCAGACUCCUACGGGAGGCAGCAGUGGGGAAUUUUGCGCAAUGGGGGAAACCCUGACGCAGCAACGCCGCGUGGAGGAUGAAAUCCCUUGGGAUGUAAACUCCUUUCGAUCGGGAAGAUAAUGACGGUACCGAGGAGAAGAAGCCCCGGCUAACUUCGUGCCAGCAGCCGCGGUAAUACGGAGGGGGGCAAGCGUUGUUCGGAAUUCAUUGGGCGUAAAGGGUGCGUAAGCGGUUUGAUAAGUCACAUGUGAAAUCUUCGGGCUCAACCGAAGUCUGCAUGCGAAACUGUCGGGCUUGA
Molecule: ribosomal RNA, 505 nt
Filed under: uncultured bacterium
Lineage: Bacteria
Description: bacterial SSU rRNA
Rfam family: Bacterial small subunit ribosomal RNA
Source: RNAcentral